This 293-nucleotide unclassified non-coding RNA is filed under the name uncultured Gammaproteobacteria bacterium. Its description in RNAcentral is "contains 16S-23S intergenic spacer region". The record is from RNAcentral. Lineage: Bacteria; Pseudomonadati; Pseudomonadota; Gammaproteobacteria.
UCUCGGCUUAUCACCGGCAGUCCCCCUAGAGUGCCCAACUGAAUGAUGGCAACUAAGGGCGAGGGUUGCGCUCGUUGCGGGACUUAACCCAACAUCUCACGACACGAGCUGACGACAGCCAUGCAGCACCUGUGUUCAGGUCCCCUUUCGGGCACAGCCAGAUCUCUCCGGCCUUCCUGACAUGUCAAGGGUAGGUAAGGUUUUUCGCGUUGCAUCGAAUUAAUCCACAUCAUCCACCGCUUGUGCGGGUCCCCGUCAAUUCCUUUGAGUUUUAAUCUUGCGACCGUACUCCC